Myiozetetes cayanensis is the source of this 1013-nucleotide long non-coding RNA. RefSeq lists it as uncharacterized. The transcript is spliced from 3 exons. Lineage: Eukaryota; Metazoa; Chordata; Aves; Passeriformes; Tyrannidae. The record is from RefSeq and is a predicted model, not a curated record.
CCCAGCGCUGCCGGGGGGAGGCGAAGCUCAAGAAACCCUCGGCGCUGGCAGAAACCGAGCCUGUUCCCCCUCUCCCCGGCGCGGAACUAUUUCAAAGGAUAAGGGGGCAAAAGAGAUGGGAAUGGACGGACAUAGCCCAUAAACCUGCUAAGAUGUGUGAGAGCUGUAGAUGGACUCACAGACUUGGGAGAAAACAGAAGACAGACGAGCUCCUGCACAUCCCCAGAAUCUGAACCACCAAGAAAAGGCUUCUGAGCACAUGGGGCCAAAGCCAUUUCUUCUCUAGGUAUCAAGUGUUCCAAGGCAUGAAGAAGGGUUUGCACCAGCAGGAAGAUGAAUGGAGAACAUGUAGAAAUCAUUUGAGUAAACCAUGAGUUGCCAGCAGAGGAUUAAGUACCUGCUGGACUCCUCAGUGAUAUGAUGCAAGGGGAGGCCAGGAGGGGCAAGAGACUGGAGAGAACAGGAGUGAUCCCAUAAUUAAACAAGAGGCUUUCUCUAAAGCUCCCCCAUGAUGGAUUUCCUCCUCCAGGCUAGGAACCAGCUCGUGUCAUUCGGUUUUGUUCCACCAGACAUAAAUAACAGCUCUCCUGGGACUUGUGAGGAGGGUAAAAAUGGCAUUUAGCAGAAAAAUUGCGACAAGGACAAGGAUGCAAUGGAGACCCCGAGUGAGGGAUGCAGAAAGCAAGGCGGAGACAAAUUGCCGAUUUAUCCUGACCUUCCCUCGAGGCAUCCCUCCCCCUUCCCAAAUCCACAAAGUGAGCAAGGCAGAAAUCAAUAGCUCAGCACAGCCACAGAGAUGGUGAGGAAAGCAGCAGAUGCACAGGAGGGUAGAUCAGGAAACAAAACCUUGCCGGGAAACAAGAUUCCAGGGCAGGGAAGGGAGAGACAUCCUAUUUCACAAGGGAUGCCAUCCUUGUGACAACACCUGGACAACUUUAAACCAGGAGAUUUCUAUGCACACUGCAGGGGGUGGUAAAUCAUCCUCUGGCUGCUGGAAACCAACAUAUGGGAAG